Molecule: long non-coding RNA, 210 nt
Filed under: Erythranthe guttata (spotted monkey flower)
Lineage: Eukaryota; Viridiplantae; Streptophyta; Magnoliopsida; Lamiales; Phrymaceae
Description: long non-coding RNA (EGUT_LNC003578)
Source: RNAcentral
GAAAUAUGGGUAUGUGUGGCUAUUCUUCUUGAAUUUAGGUGAUUACGCCAAAAUUUGAAAGAUAGGCGUUUGAAACAAUGAAUUCACCUCUACGGACUUUAGUAAACUCGAUUCUCAAAAGUUCAAAGGUCUCCACUUUUUCUUUUGAGGCAAGGGGUCGAGUUUUCAAAAAUAAUUCACCAACUAGUCCUUAUUUCUCCCUUCUAGUCU